Molecule: ribosomal RNA, 301 nt
Filed under: uncultured bacterium
Lineage: Bacteria
Description: partial 16S ribosomal RNA
Rfam family: Bacterial small subunit ribosomal RNA
Source: RNAcentral
CAGUCGCCGCGGGAAUACGUAGGGUGCAAGCGUUGUCCGGAAUUAUUGGGCGUAAAGAGCUCGUAGGCGGCUCGUCGCGUCGGCUGUGAAAACCUGGGGCUCAACCCCGGGCCUGCAGCCGAUACGGGCGAGCUAGAAUUCGGUAGGGGAGACUGGAAUUCCUGGUGUAGCGGUGGAAUGCGCAGAUAUCAGGAGGAACACCGGUGGCGAAGGCGGCUCUCUGGGAAUUACCUGACGCUGAGGAGCGAAAGCAUGGGGAGCGAACAGGAUUAGAGACCCGUGUAGUCCCUGUCUCUUAUAC